GCAUGAAUUAUGUUGCAUAAUUGAAAUUGAUUUCGAAUUGAUGAACUCUAUAUGCUUAUUUUUCUAUAAAUGAUUAUUUACUUAAAUGCCUGAUUAAAUCUGUUGAGAAGUGAUCAUUGCUUACUGGGUUGUCUAGCUCAUUACCUCCUAUUUUACUAUUUUUACAGAUGUUGAAGAAUUAAGAUGAUACAAGAUAUGAAUGAAAGAGUGAUCAGAAGCAGAAUCUUCAUACUUUUAUUUUAGGUUGAAAGGCUUAUUGAAUUUGAUGCAAAGCCUUUGAAUCGUUGUUUAAUUUAAGAAAAAAUUUAGGUCGUUAUAUUUUAGAUUUAAAUUGUUGACUAAUUAUUCCGCUGUUGUUUUAGGAUAGUAUGAUAAGAUGCCUUGCAUGCUUAUGGGAAGAAUUUUCUAUGAGUAUGCGAUGGUUGCCAUGACCCUCGAUUCAAAAUCUCGGAUCGGGGGCGUGACAGUGUGACUGUCAAAUGCAUCAUACUUGCCUCGAUGAGCAAUGAGCUUCAGAGGCAGCAUAAGGACAUGGAUAUUCCUUCUAUACUCCUUAAUCUUAAAGAGUUAUAUGGAGAAUAAAGUUGAACUGUUAGAUAUGAGAUAUCUAAGCAGUUGUUCCAUGUCUGCAUGACUGAAGG
This 641-nucleotide long non-coding RNA is filed under the name Elaeis guineensis (African oil palm). RNAcentral's name for it is "long non-coding RNA (EGUI_LNC066097)". Lineage: Eukaryota; Viridiplantae; Streptophyta; Magnoliopsida; Arecales; Arecaceae. The record is from RNAcentral.